AGUGAACGCUGGCGGUAGGCCUAACACAUGCAAGUCGAACGGCAGCACAGUAAGAGCUUGCUCUUACGGGUGGCGAGUGGCGGACGGGUGAGGAAUACAUCGGAAUCUACUUUUUCGUGGGGGAUAACGUAGGGAAACUUACGCUAAUACCGCAUAUGACCUACGGGUGAAAGCAGGGGAUCUUCGGACCUUGCGCGAUUGAAUGAGCCGAUGUCGGAUUAGCUAGUUGGCGGGGUAAAGGCCCACCAAGGCGACGAUCCGUAGCUGGUCUGAGAGGAUGGUAGGCCACACUGGAACUGAGACACGGUCCAGACUCCUACGGGAGGCAGCAGUGGGGAAUAUUGGACAAUGGGCGCAAGCCUGAUCCAGCCAUACCGCGUGGGUGAAGAAGGCCUUCGGGUUGUAAAGCCCUUUUGUUGGGAAAGAAAAGCAGCAGGUUAAUACCCCGCUGUUCUGACGGUACCCAAAGAAUAAGCACCGGCUAACUUCGUG
Molecule: ribosomal RNA, 492 nt
Filed under: uncultured bacterium
Lineage: Bacteria
Description: partial 16S ribosomal RNA
Rfam family: Bacterial small subunit ribosomal RNA
Source: RNAcentral